UGGUUCUGGCAUCGAUGAAGAACGCAGCGAAAUGCGAUAAGUAAUGCGAAUUGCAGAAUUCGGUGAAUCAUCGAAUCUUUGAACGCACAUUGUGCCCCUCAGCACUCUGGGGGGCAUGCCUGUCCGAGCGUCAUUACAACCCUCAAGCGCUGCCGCUUGGUGUUGGGUGCCACCUUGGUGCACCCCAAAAGCAGUGGUGGGACCACCCGGCCGCAAGCAUAGUAGCAACUCAGCUUGUAGUGCCCGGGUGUAGGCCUGCUGUCUUCCUCUGUUAGAGAGUUGACCUCGGAUCAGGUAGGGUUACCCGCUGA
This 311-nucleotide unclassified non-coding RNA is filed under the name uncultured fungus. Its description in RNAcentral is "partial contains 5.8S ribosomal RNA and internal transcribed spacer 2". The stretch from base 1 to 133 matches the Rfam family "5.8S ribosomal RNA", at positions 22 to 154 of the family's 154-position model. The record is from RNAcentral. Lineage: Eukaryota; Fungi.